GGCCGUGGCUGACAGGUUACGGCGUUCGCUUUGCAAGUGAAUGGUUGUGGGUUCGAUUGCCAUUUCA
RNAcentral lists this transfer RNA (67 nucleotides) under Culex quinquefasciatus (southern house mosquito). RNAcentral describes it as "tRNA-Ala". The record is from RNAcentral. Lineage: Eukaryota; Metazoa; Arthropoda; Insecta; Diptera; Culicidae.